GGGUAACCCAUCCCGAUGAAGUCGGGAUACUCCAAAUUAAUUUGGAGAGCGCACCCAGGGAAGUGAAACAUCUCAGUACCUGGAGGAAAAGAAAACAAAAGUCAUUCCCUAAGUAGCGGCGAGCGAAAAGGGAGAUAGCCUAAACCGUUUAAUAUGUCAACAUAUUAAACGGGGUUAUAAGAAAGAAACGCUUCAAAUUUUUUUGUGAGAUUUAUUUCACAAAAGAAUUUGAGUGGGAGAGUUACAAAAUCAUUUGUUAGCUGAAUCUUUUGGAAAAAAGAGCCAAAGAAGGUGAUAGCCCUGUAAGCGAAAACAAAUGAUCUCUCUAGUUUCUUUUCUUAAGUAGCUUGAGGUUGGAAUGCCUUGAGUGAAGUUGGGAGCACUAUUCUCCCAAGGCUAAAUACUUCCAAUGAUCGAUAGUGAACUAGUACCGUGAGGGAAAGGUGAAAAGCAGGCCGGUGAGGCCGAUGAAAUAGAACCUGAAACCGUAUGCCUACAAGGAACCGGAACCCGUAAGGGCGACGGUGUGCCUAUUGAAGAAUGAGCCAACGACUUAUUGUCUAUUGCAAGUCUAAUCCCGAUAACUCGGGAGGAGGCGUAGGGAAACCGAGUCUGAAUAGGGCGAUUUAGCAGUAGGCAAUAGACCCGAAGCCGGAUGAGCUUACCUUGGCCAGGGUGAAUUUCACCGAAAGGUGGGAGGAGGCCCGAACCGGUUGGUUGUUCAAAACCUUCGGAUGAGCUGAGGUAAGGAGUGAAAAGCUAAUCGAAUUCGGUAAUAGCUGGUUCUCUCCGAAAUAGCUUUAGGGCUAGCGUCAGCGAAAAAUUUUUCGCAGGUAGAGCUACUGGUUUAUGAGUAAAGGGCGCAAGCUCGGCUCAUGAGUCAAACUCCGAAUGGCGAAAAAUAUGCGCUGAUAGUCAGAACGUGGGGGCUAAGCUCCAUGUUCAAAAGGGAAACAGCCCAGACCACCAUCUAAGGUCCCUAAAUUCACGCUAAGUGUAAAAGGUAGUCAUAAUUCAUAGACAGAUAGGAGGUUGGCUUAGAGGUAGCCAUCCUUUAAAGAGUGUGUAACAACUCACUAUUUAAGAAUUAUGGCGCCGAAAAUGUACCGGGGCUAAGCGUGAUACCGAAGAUGUGGCUCAGUUUCAUUUUUAAAAUGAAACUGGGGGUAGGAGAGCAUUUCAAUUGCUGUGAAGCACUAGCCGUGAGGCGGUGUGGAGCAAUUGGAAGAGAGAAUGUUGGCAUGAGUAACCACUAUCCUAAUGAGAAAUUAGGACCCCGAAAAUCCAAGGUUUCCGUCCCACUGGCAAUCAAGGACGGGUUAGGCGGCCCUAAGCCGAUGGCGAAAGCCGAAGGCGAUGGAUAGCUGGUUAAUAUUCCAGCCCUUCCAUUCUUUUUCAAUGGGGUGACGAAAUGGAGUAGAUUUAGCGUCUUAUUGGUUUGACGUCCUUGAUCGAGGAUGUUUUGUAGGCAAAUCCGCAAAACUGCCUUUAAUGGCAAAUCCCAGAGUAAAGGCAAGUAUAAGUUUUUACUUAUACAAGUAAAUCGAGCCCAUUUCCAAGAAAAACCUCUAGAGUUAAAAGAAUGGAAUCCGUACCGGAAACCGACACAGGUGGAUAGGGCGAGAAGCCCAAGGGGAACGAGUGAUUCGCCGCUAAGGAACUCGGCAAAAAAGCUGGGCGUAACUUCGGGAUAUGCCCUUCCUGUUCUUAAGCUUGCUUAAGAAUGGGACGCAGCGAAAGUCUCUCUGGCGACUGUUUAUCAAAAACACAGCUCCCUGCUAACUCGUAAGAGGAUGUAUAGGGGGUGACGCCUGACCGAUGCGAGAAGGUUAAAUCUGCCGGUCAGUGUUU
RNAcentral lists this ribosomal RNA (1851 nucleotides) under Acidobacteriota bacterium. Its description in RNAcentral is "bacterial LSU rRNA". It matches the Rfam family "Bacterial large subunit ribosomal RNA", at positions 121 to 1898 of the family's 2925-position model. Lineage: Bacteria; Pseudomonadati; Acidobacteriota. The record is from RNAcentral.